GAAAAGUUCUAGAUUUGCGUGUAAUAUUAUUUUAUUAAAGAAUGUGUGGUUGAAAUGAUUUCAAAAUACUAUUUAAAAAUGUAUUUUUUUUUCAAAGAAUGAGGCUCAAACAGGGGCUAUAUGCCAAAAGUUUUAUUAUCAAAUUGAUGUGGGAGUGGUACAUGACUCUGUUAGAGCCUGAUGUAAAACCUUUGGUCAACCAAAGGCAAUGCGGUGUUAAUUUUGAAGCCGGUUUUGGCCAUCUCUUUUGCAAUGUGAAUGGUUUCAUGUACUAUUCUGCUGUCUCAUAUCUUUAGACAUUGGCACUGCUGAUUUUUUGGGGAACAAGUCAAUGGACGUAGUGAUCCUAUUGUUCCUUAGUUAAACUUAUUUAAAUAAAAAAUAAUAAUUUUUAUAGCAUCGUGUUGCUAUGUCGGUUCGUGAGCCACAUGACCCUUUCUUGAGUUGCAAAUUGCAAUGUACAGGGGCACGAUGAAUUGGCACUUUUUGAGUUACCACAAUGCGGGACGAUGAAUUGGCACUUUUGAGUUACCACAAUGCUAUCUCAGUAUGUGAAUUACCUUUUGUUUUUAUCCAUCUUGUUCUGUUUCAAGUUUCGGAGUGUCAGAGUUCGAGUUAUUUGUGGUGCUGUUCAAUUACCUUUUUUCCUUUCGGUAAUUAUUGGGUUCUGCUUGUGCGAUGUUCGGUGACAUAUCUCUAAAGAUAUUUAUUUCAAAAGCAUUUGAAAUUGCCAUGGCACUGCAAAGGAGAAAUGCACUGGAGUAUUUUUGAAUGAUUGGUAUUUAGAAUUACAAGAGUAAUGCAUCAGAGUAAUUUUUGUGUUUGGUAUGCAGAAUUAGACAGGAUUUGUGUAGUACAAUGAGCAUGAGCGUUCUCUUGUUUUCUUUGAUUUUGUUCAUUGCUAUCCCAUCCUCUCUACCAAAAUUCCACCAAUGUGUAUGAUGCACCAACUGGUUCAUUCAUCUAGCUAUAAACUAGAAUCACUAAUACAAAUUUCCCAAUAUCGAAAAUUUUUUUAUAGUACACUUUUCCUUUGGGCUCUCCCUACCAUUUUUGGGGCUCUUCUUAGCAAUUCUAAGGUGGUUCUGCUGUUAAACUGAUUUCGUUGCUGG
This 1112-nucleotide long non-coding RNA is filed under the name Olea europaea subsp. europaea. Lineage: Eukaryota; Viridiplantae; Streptophyta; Magnoliopsida; Lamiales; Oleaceae. The record is from RNAcentral.